RNAcentral lists this ribosomal RNA (440 nucleotides) under uncultured bacterium. Its description in RNAcentral is "partial 16S ribosomal RNA". It matches the Rfam family "Bacterial small subunit ribosomal RNA", at positions 338 to 795 of the family's 1533-position model. The record is from RNAcentral.
CCUACGGGGUGCUGCAGUGGGGGAUAUUGCACAAUGGGGGAAACCCUGAUGCAGCGACGCCGCGUGGGUGAAGAAGCGCCUCGGCGCGUAAAGCCCUGUCAGCAGGGAAGAAAAUGACGGUACCUGAAGAAGAAGCCCCGGCUAACUACGUGCCAGCAGCCGCGGUAAUACGUAGGGGGCAAGCGUUAUCCGGAUUUACUGGGUGUAAAGGGGGCGCAGACGGCGAUGCAAGCCAGGAGUGAAAGACCGGGGCCCAACCCCGGGACUGCUCUUGGAACUGCGUGGCUAGAGUGCAGGAGGGGCAGGCGGAAGUCCUGGUGUAGCGGUGAAAUGCGUAGAUAUCAGGAGGAACACCGGUGGCGAAGGCGGCCUGCUGGACUGCAACUGACGUUGAGGCCCGAAAGCGUGGGGAGCAAACAGGAUUAGAUACCCCAGUAGUC